AUUGAACGCUGGCGGCGUGCUUAACACAUGCAAGUCGAGCGGUAACAGGUGUAGCAAUACAUGCUGACGAGCGGCGAACGGGUGAGUAAUGCUUCGGAAUCUUCCUCGUAGUGGGGAAUAACCUGGGGAAACUCAGGCUAAUACCGCAUACGAACUACGGUUGAAAGCAGGGGAUCGCAAGACCUUGCGCUAUGAGAUGAGCCGAAGUCGGAUUAGCUAGUUGGUGAGGUAAAGGCUCACCAAGGCGACGAUCCGUAGCUGGUCUGAGAGGACGACCAGCCACACUGGGACUGAGACACGGCCCAGACUCCUACGGGAGGCAGCAGUGGGGAAUAUUGGACAAUGGGGGCAACCCUGAUCCAGCGACGCCGCGUGUGUGAAGAAGGCCUGCGGGUUGUAAAGCACUUUUAGUGGGGAUGGAAAAGCCAAGGGUUAAUACCCUUUGGUCUUGACCUAACCCAAAGAAAAGCACCGGCUAACUCUGUGCCAGCAGCCGCGGU
Molecule: ribosomal RNA, 500 nt
Filed under: uncultured bacterium
Lineage: Bacteria
Description: bacterial SSU rRNA
Rfam family: Bacterial small subunit ribosomal RNA
Source: RNAcentral